GAUGAACGCUGGCGGCGUGCCUAGUACAUGCAAGUCGAGCGAACAGACGAGGAGCUUGCUCCUCUGACGUUAGCGGCGGACGGGUGAGUAACACGUGGAUAACCUACCUAUAAGACUGGGAUAACUUCGGGAAACCGGAGCUAAUACCGGAUAAUAUAUUGAACCGCAUGGUUCAAUAGUGAAAGACGGUUUUGCUGUCACUUAUAGAUGGAUCCGCGCCGCAUUAGCUAGUUGGUAAGGUAACGGCUUACCAAGGCAACGAUGCGUAGCCGACCUGAGAGGGUGAUCGGCCACACUGGAACUGAGACACGGUCUAGACUCCUACGGGAGGCAGCAGUAGGGAAUCUUCCGCAAUGGGCGAAAGCCUGACGGAGCAACGCCGCGUGAGUGAUGAAGGUCUUCGGAUCGUAAAACUCUGUUAUUAGGGAAGAACAAAUGUGUAAGUAACUAUGCACGUCUUGACGGUACCUAAUCAGAAAGCCACGGCUAACUACGUG
This 497-nucleotide ribosomal RNA is filed under the name uncultured bacterium. Its description in RNAcentral is "partial 16S ribosomal RNA". It matches the Rfam family "Bacterial small subunit ribosomal RNA", at positions 28 to 507 of the family's 1533-position model. The record is from RNAcentral.